Long non-coding RNA from Eptesicus fuscus (big brown bat), 953 nucleotides. RefSeq lists it as uncharacterized. NCBI's taxonomy places the organism in Eukaryota, Metazoa, Chordata, Mammalia, Chiroptera, Vespertilionidae. The record is from RefSeq and is a predicted model, not a curated record. The transcript is spliced from 3 exons.
CUCAUCUUCUUAUAUCACAAUGGCUAGUUGUCUGCCAAAAUGUGUGCUUCCCCUUAGAGACCUGAGCUGUCACUGGAAGCAGCCACCUAGACAAGGACUCGAAUGCUAACUGGUGGAAGGAAAGUGGGCAGACGUCCUGUGUGGCAUUCUCUGGUCAGGAUUUAAGAAGCAGCUAAAAGCAGGUGACAGUGAGAUCUAGAUGGCAGAGCCACAAAGGAGCAAAAAGCAACACCUGGCUUCCUGAAUCACCCAAUGGAAGAAAGUCACCCACAGUCCAGGGACACCCACACUGGCUUGUGAUGAAUUACAAGGAAAAAUUAUUUUUUAUAUAGCGUGGUCUGGAAGACUUCUCUGAAAAGGUGACUUCAGCUGUGACUAAAAGUUAAAAUAUUUGCAGGUAAAAGAGGAAGAAAAUGUGUUCAUGUGCUCAAGUGCUGUGGCAGGAAAAGAAAUUGAAAGAACAAUGCCAAUGCAAGAACAUUCAAACCUACAGAAAAUUUUCUAAGAGUUUUUUUGAACCAAUCUGAGGACAUAUCCAGAAGCAAGAUCUCAAAAUGCUCCAGAAAAUGGCAGUUUUGCAGUUCUUUUUUAUACUUUUGCAGUUUUUUGGAAUCAAAGGAGGAACCAUAAAGGAAGAUUAUGAAAACCCAUUGGUGGUAGAUUAAGGAGGGGGAAAAAGCAAGGCAGGGAAAGCCCUAUGAUUGGAUAAAAAGGAAAAUGGAGAGAUAUACUUCUUUUACAUUUGGUGGGUACUGGCUAGUUAACAUUUAACAUUUACAUUGAACAGGCAUGGUAUACUGGCAAUAAGAUCAUGUGCUCCUUGAGGUGGUUAUGCCUCUGAGGGGUCUGAAAAAGAGGAUUAUCCAGCCAUUUGAAAGGUAUGUUAAACUAGAUGCAUAAGAACAGCGGAUAGGGCUGUUUAAAGCAAAGAUUAACCUUUUACUACAGAAGUU